RNAcentral lists this unclassified non-coding RNA (201 nucleotides) under Entoloma cremeoalbum. Its description in RNAcentral is "partial internal transcribed spacer 2". The record is from RNAcentral. Lineage: Eukaryota; Fungi; Basidiomycota; Agaricomycetes; Agaricales; Entolomataceae.
AAUUAUCAACCUUCUAGCUUUUAUUAGCUAGUUAGGCUUGGAUUUUGGAGGUUGCUGGUUUCCUAGAAAUCAGCUCUUCUUAAAUUUAUUAGCAAAGUCUUUGCUGACCAUCAUUGGUAUGAUAAUUAUCUAUAUCAUUGAGAAUCAGCUUUCCAUCUUGGAAGGGUUUUGCUUCUAAUGGUCUAUACAGACAACUUGACA